CAGCAGCCGCGGUAACACCGAGGGUGCGAGCGUUAAUCGGAUUUACUGGGCGUAAAGCGUGCGUAGGCGGCUAAUUGAGUCGGAUGUGAAAUCCCCGAGCUUAACUUGGGAAUUGCAUUCGAUACUGGUUAGCUAGAGUGUGGGAGAGGAUGGUAGAAUUCCAGGUGUAGCGGUGAAAUGCGUAGAGAUCUGGAGGAAUACCGAUGGCGAAGGCAGCCAUCUGGCCUAACACUGACGCUGAGGUACGAAAGCAUGGGGAGCAAACAGGAUUAGAUACCCCAGUAGUCCCUGUCUCUUAUAC
RNAcentral lists this ribosomal RNA (301 nucleotides) under uncultured bacterium. RNAcentral describes it as "partial 16S ribosomal RNA". It matches the Rfam family "Bacterial small subunit ribosomal RNA", at positions 509 to 807 of the family's 1533-position model. The record is from RNAcentral.